CCUGGGGCCGAUUCGCAGCCGAGAUCCGGGACCCAUGCAAGAAGACCCGGGUCUGGCUCGGCACCUUCGAUUCUGCCGAGGACGCUGCGCGUGCCUACGAUGCCGCCGCCGUAGCCCUUCGCGGCACGAAGGCCAAGACCAAUUUCCCCUCCUUACCGUCCGCCUUCCCCCCGGCCCCUCUCCCCGCCGCCGCCGCCCACUUCCCUUUCUAUCACCAGCAUCAGCACCACCCGCCGCCUCCCCCUCAGCGGCCGACGUCCAGCAGCCACAGCAGCACCGUGGAGUCCUUCAGCGGCCCGCGGCACCCCUCCGCGGCGGCGCCGAUCCACAUGCGGCCGCGGAUCCUUAGGAAGCAGAUCAACCCCCCGCCACCCCCGCGCGUACUCAACGGCGACGAUGACUGCCACAGCGACUGCGGCUCCUCUUCCUCCGUCGUCGAUGACGACGGUGACAUCGUGUCGUUGUGCCGGCAGCCGCUGGCUUUCGACCUCAACCUCCUUCCGCCCUCGGAGGACGACCUCCACGAUACGGCUCUCCGCCUCUGAUGUCCGAUCCCGGGGCUGAGAGAAGGGAAAAGCUAAAAGAAAUGGUUAUUUCCUUCUCUCCUUGCCGUUUCGCCUAUCUACUCUCAUAAAUACUUUCGAU
This 645-nucleotide long non-coding RNA is filed under the name Musa acuminata (dwarf banana). Its description in RNAcentral is "long non-coding RNA (MACU_LNC001219)". Lineage: Eukaryota; Viridiplantae; Streptophyta; Magnoliopsida; Zingiberales; Musaceae. The record is from RNAcentral.